AAAAAGGGACAAUCGUUCCCAUUGAAACCCUCUCUUCUCUCUCCUAAAGCCAGAUCUUAGAUCUACUUCAUCUCCUUUUUUCUUUUUUCGUUUAUUGAUCUUCAGUGUCGGUUGAUGGGUGAGGGAGUGAAGCGGUGGUGAGCGUCUUUCUUCUCCGGUGGUGUGAGGUGUGGUUUGGUCUUUGGCUCAUUGCUUGUUGGUGGCUCUCCUUCACGGCGGCCAGAGAAGCGGUUCCUUCGUUCUGCUGGUUAAGGACAACAGUAGAUUGGAUCUUGUUUCUCACGGCUCGGCGGCUUGUGAUUGUGGCUCCGGCGAGUAGCGGAAGUUGAGCUUUCGAUCGGUGGGUUUCACCACUUUGCGAAGAGGUUAACGGUGGCUCCUUGGCAGGAUCCUAGAUGGCUAGUUUCGGGUGAUCCUUGGCCGGAUUUGGGCGGUUGAUGGCUUGUUUUGAGCCGGCGUCCAUCAGCUGCCUCCGUUUUUGGCUUCCUCUUUGCCGGAUCUGAAGACUGAUUUAGCUUUUGGAGUGGUUCAAGGAAGAACGUCGAGGGAAGUAAGGGUUAGUUUUGAUGUCUCUCUUCUUGCUAGGUCGGGGAGAAGAGGUCCUGGGUCUCGGUUGUGGCGGAUCUUCCUUUCCCGAAAGGAAAGUUCUGGGUUCGGUUUGUGUCUCGGCGACAGGUUGCGACCGGAUUUGCUAGCUCCGGUCAAAGUCUUGCUGUUGAGGUCUUGUCCGCAAAGGAACCGUCCUUGUUAGCAUCGGAUCUGGAAGGCGAGAUUCGUGUUUUCCGGUGUACUGCCUUCUUCAGAUCUCACUUUGCUUGUGUUUCUGAUUGGGCCAUUUCUUUUUGUAACCCGUUAAUUUUCUAGGCCCAUCAGCCUAAGCCCUUUUUGGGAAUUAUUAAUAUAUUAAAAAAAAAAAAAAAAAAAAAAAAAAAAAAAAAAAAACCAAU
This 947-nucleotide long non-coding RNA is filed under the name Arabidopsis lyrata. RNAcentral's name for it is "long non-coding RNA (ALYR_LNC001470)". Lineage: Eukaryota; Viridiplantae; Streptophyta; Magnoliopsida; Brassicales; Brassicaceae. The record is from RNAcentral.